CCCAGAGCCGCCCCUGCGCCCUGGGCUGCUUCCGCUGGAUCCCCCCACUCGAGGUGAGCAUACAAGACAGCCCCAGAGCCAGACCUGCCAGGGACAAGGAUAGAGCAUGGUCCAUCGGCAAGUGCUGCAGAUGCUCUCCAGGGCCACCCCAGGCCACCUCGGCCCCUUCCUCUGGAGCAGGACGGCCAGAGAACAGCACACAUCUGUCACCAGCGCCUGAUAGGAACAGAGGCACCAAUGGACCCGGGCUGCUGAGAGGAGAAGGGUGACUCACAGUGGGCCAGAAGAAGAUAAAGGGGUGUUGUGUUUUGAGACGGUCUUGCUAUGUAGCUCAGGCUAGCCUCAAAUUUGUAGCAGUCCUUCUGCUUCAGCCUCUUGAGGGCUGGGAUUACCGAUGUGUGCCACCAUGCCCAGCAAGGCUCUAUCCUGGGCCUGCAGGGCUGUAUGGGGAGGGACCUGUGCUGCCUGAACAUUGCCAUGCACCUGGACAUCAGGAUGUCCAGUCCAACAAGACUUCCGGGAUGACCCAAGGACCGUCUGCCAGGACUAAAGGCAGAAGAGGGCGUGGCGGAAAUUGCCAGGUCUCUGGGAUCCAAAGAUUCUUUAGCCAGGUGUGGCCACACCUGCAAUCCCUGUACUCUGGGAGACUGAGGCAGGGAGAUCACAAAUUGAAGGGGCCGGGGAUUUAGCUCAGUGGUUUCGCUGCUUGCUGCGAAAACGCAAGGACCCAAGUUCAAUCCCCAGUACCAAAAAAACCCCAAAACCAAAUUGGAGUCCAGCUGGACAAUUUAGUGAUUUAGUGAGACCCAACCCCAAAAUAAGGAAAAAAGGGCAAGGGAUGUAGCUCAGGGCAAAGAGGCCUUGAGUUCAACCUGCAGUACUACAGAGAAAAGAAAAUGUUAGGUGAAGAAAAAGAAUUGUGUACUGAAUUCACAUGGACUUCUCUUUAUCCCCUCAACAACUCAGGGUAGUGCUGAGGUGUUGGGAGCCAUGGAUCUGGGGUCUGGUAGUCCUGGUGCCCAGCCCGGCGGUCCAGCUCAAGGGCACAUGCGCCACCUCUGCAUCUGUUCCCACCUGACUCAGAGCAGAAUGUGCUGGGGCCCCCUGAGGUCCGCUGCAAUCCAGAGGCUGGCAGUGCCCAGCCAGCAACCCUUCAGCCUGCUCCUCACAGGGCACCUGUUCCCACAUGCAUGAUUUCUCUCUUCCCCAGGAGGCCCAAGCAGACUCACAGUGGCUCCUGCCCUGACAGCCGCCUCCUCACCCUGCCUCAGUUUCCUGUCUGUCCCAAAAGCAGGUUAGUCAAGGUGACCCAGCUCAGCCUCUAACUGAAGAUCUUGCCCAGGGCCAUGUCAGUGUGCAGACUCCACCCUGCAAGUCUGGGGGCCCGGGCUCUGGGUCCUCAUCCAGCCCCUGUCUGCCACAGGGACCCACUCCGGGGACCCCUUGCUCUGGGGAAAAUCUAAAACCCCAGGGCACAGCUGGGAUGCGGCCCAGUAGGGAGCAUUUGCCUGGCAUGCCUGAGGCCCUGGGUUCUGUCCUCAGCACCAGGAAAGCGGAAUCCUGAUGCCCCUGUCUCCCCUCACAGAUUCUAAUUUAAUUGGGCACAAAGCCCCCCCUUAAACUAGGCUCUCCACAUGAGGCCUGGUGGCACAUGCCUGUUAUCCCAGUCUCCAAGGAGACGAAGGCAGGAGGAUCACCUUGAGUUCAAGGCCACCCUGGACUUCGUGGUAAGACCAUGUCUCAAAACCUAAACAAGAAAUAAAUAAAAAAUAAGGCUAUCCUGGUAGUGGAUGUCACCCUGACGCCUGGCUGGGGUGCCGGGUGCCCAAGUAAUCAAAGCUGCCUAUUGGUCCCCAGGUGGCCAGCUUCCCCUGCAUUCUUGCCUGAGCUUCUCCUUCUUAUAUUUGGUUAUUUUUCUCUCCUUCCCAAACACAACAAUUCAAACUAUUCCCAGCCUGCAGACAAUAAACAAAGCUGGGAGGCAGCCGGGAGGGGUCAGGUUUGCUCCCACUUAUGGCCUGAUCAGAGGCCACCCGGAUUGGGUCCUGACGGGUAGUCUGAGCCUGGCGGGUGGCCUGGCUUCAGUCCCAGGGUCCCCAAGUCCCUCGGUUUAGAUGACCAGGUACCCCUCAGGCCACGUCCCCGGGAGUCAGGGCUCAGGGGGGUGAGUGACCUGCGCCCGGACGCACAGUGCAGCUGAGAUGGCCCCUCCCUCCCACUCCUCUCGGUUUCCAGCUGUGAGUAGCUGUGGGGCCCCGGGCAGGCUUGGGUCAGACCAAAGGUUUUCCAGGGGUCAGCCUGAGCUGAGCCUCAGUGGGCCCAUCUGUAAAUGAGGCCCAGCAACACAGGAGAGGCCAGGCCUAGGCCAGAAAGAAUGGCACUUAGGGCAGUCACCCUGGUUUGUCACCAGGAUGGCAGGGCCAGCGGGAAAGCAGACUGUAGGCCAAAGGGGGACAGGAAGGAGGACCAGAAGGGGGGAAGAGUCAUCCGAGCUCCCAGGAAGCUGAGGCAGGAGGAUUGCCCCGAGUUUGAGGUCAACUUGGGCUACAGAGCAAGACUUUGUCUCAAAACAAAACAGAAAAAGAUUCUAAGUACUGAGAGGGACCCUGGGUGGGUCUGGAGGGCAGCAAAAAGCCACACCCUCACUGUCCAGGUGGUCAGGGUGGGUGGUGGCCACUGGCCCCAUUCGAGCUUAACCCUGGCCUGGGGCAUCACCGUCCACACUGCUUUGUCCCUUUUUGACUCCCAUGCGGCCCUCUGGGAGCUGGGCAGAGGCAGGGCUGUCCCCAGUAGGAGCCUCUGAGUGGCUGGGGCUGCGGGAGGGUGUGGCAUGGGGUCAGAGGACCCUGACAUUCUCCAUGCACAGCUCUGUGACCGUCACUGGACAGUGACCCAGGCCCAGUGGCCUUACAGAGCUCUAGCCCACGGCCACUGCCAAUGGCAGUGCUUGACAGGCCUUUGGAGGUUGUAGCCGGUUGUUUGCCUCUGGGACAGCCCCAGGCCCCGACCAGG
Molecule: long non-coding RNA, 3012 nt
Organism: Heterocephalus glaber (naked mole-rat)
Lineage: Eukaryota; Metazoa; Chordata; Mammalia; Rodentia; Bathyergidae
Source: Ensembl